GCAGUGGAUGCGGUUGCGGUUGCG
Molecule: non-coding RNA, 24 nt
Filed under: Arabidopsis thaliana (thale cress)
Lineage: Eukaryota; Viridiplantae; Streptophyta; Magnoliopsida; Brassicales; Brassicaceae
Source: RNAcentral